CUGCCUGCAAAAUGAAGAUGAUAUUGAUAAUAGUUCCUAUCACAUGCAGCUACUGUGUGUAUUAAAUAACUCACCUACAUACGAAGCGAUGGCCUAUUCACUAUGUACCGGGUACUUUAAGUGCUUUACAUGUAUUACAUCAAAUAAUAUUAAUAAUGCUACUCAAACCUGUGCUAGCUUUGUAACUGUAGGAUUGUCUAUCACCACUGAGUUGGUCUCCUAACCUAUAAAACAGUGGGAAUCCCCCGUACACCUGCAGAAGUGGUCAUAUGAUCCGGCGUUUAUAAACAUUCAGCUCGAGGCCUGGUACACUGGAUUCAGAAUGCCAGAACGAAAGUAAAAUUUGGGGGGUUUUUUUGUUUUUUGUUUUGUUUUGUUUUGUUUUGUUUUGUUUUGGUUUUGUUUUGUUAGUACGUAGUGAGCUAAUGCACUUCCUCUGAAAUUCUACUUGGCACCCCAUAAAGGAAAAGGCCAGGUUUAAGACGGGACUAAUCAUUCCAACGGGUAGUCUUUAGAGAAACUUCACUGGAAAGAUCACGCAGCAGUUCUUCCUGGAAACUGGAAGGAACCUCCCGAGGACGGCCGGACUGCCCCCGAGCGGGGCCUAGUGACCCUGGCUACAAAUCAGAAUCCCCUGUGGAACUCUUUUAAAGCUACAGUUGGCCAGACCCCAUUUGUGAAGAUUCUGAUCCACUAGUUCCGGAAAAUCUGUCACUUUAAAACUACCCCGGGACUCUCACCCACAACCAAGACUGAAACACCACUUCAGGACUUAACUGACAUCCAGGAACUUCCAAGCCUCUGAGAAACCACAGACCAUAUGGUGGGAGAAGAGGAAUUGAGUAGCUUGAGCAGAAAGUGGACUCACAUCACUUGACAAAGGCCUCAUGGAGACAGAAGCCUUGGAAAGAUGUCCUUAUGACCCAAACCACAGGAUGCCAGCCAGCAGGUUACAGUACCACCUGGCAUCAUGUAGAAAGAAAAAUCUGAAGAUAGCUAAAAAGAUGGCUAACUGCAAAUAUAACGCUUGCCAUGUGGUCCCCAUCAAAAGGCUCAAGGAACAUGAGGUUAACUGUGUCAACAGAACUGCUGUAGAUGAUGAGCCAUUUAAUCUUCCAAAGUUCAUUUCUCCAAGUUUGGAACCAAAUAAAAAACUUUCUAAUACUGCCAAUCAGAUUUUUGACCCCAAUGUCUGGAACAUAGAUAACACACAUCAUUCUCCUUCAUUUGUUCUUAAGACAUUUGUUCCAAAAAUGCUGGUCUGUGAAAGGCUCCUCUCUUAGGACAUUAAUCCACUAAGGCCUUGAUUCCACAAAGUUCUCAAUUCUAGUGACUCAAGAGACAUAAAAAAAGAGACUAUGGAUGAUAAACAUCCUAACAACGUUAAGUCCUGGAGAAAAGGUCAGAAAAACUGAUGGAGAAGCUGUGGAUAAAAGAGCCAGCAGACAGAAAAUUUAUUUUUCUUUGAAAACUUUGGUGAAAUCUUUAUUUUUUUUUCCCCUUUGGUGAAAUCUUAACUGUCAUAUUUUAGGUAACAACUCCAGUCAUUGUUGGCAUCUUAACAUGUUUUUAUUUAUUUAAAUAAAGAAUACU
This is an RNA transcript of Canis lupus familiaris (dog), 1593 nucleotides long. It is a transcript of the gene named gametocyte specific factor 2, with no coding region annotated. NCBI's taxonomy places the organism in Eukaryota, Metazoa, Chordata, Mammalia, Carnivora, Canidae. The record is from RefSeq and is a predicted model, not a curated record. The transcript has 8 exons.